Molecule: transfer RNA, 85 nt
Filed under: Omnitrophica WOR_2 bacterium GWB2_45_9
Lineage: Bacteria; Pseudomonadati; Candidatus Omnitrophota
Also listed under: 1 other name
Description: tRNA-Leu
Rfam family: tRNA
About the family: Transfer RNA (tRNA) molecules are approximately 80 nucleotides in length. Their secondary structure includes four short double-helical elements and three loops (D, anti-codon, and T loops). Further hydrogen bonds mediate the characteristic L-shaped molecular structure. tRNAs have two regions of fundamental functional importance: the anti-codon, which is responsible for specific mRNA codon recognition, and the 3' end, to which the tRNAs corresponding amino acid is attached (by aminoacyl-tRNA synthetases). tRNAs cope with the degeneracy of the genetic code in two manners: having more than one tRNA (with a specific anti-codon) for a particular amino acid; and 'wobble' base-pairing, i.e. permitting non-standard base-pairing at the 3rd anti-codon position.
Source: RNAcentral
GCGGAAGUGGCGGAACUGGCAUACGCGUACGUCUCAGAAGCGUAUGGGGCAACCCUUGAGAGUUCAACUCUCUCCUUCCGCACUA